RNAcentral lists this ribosomal RNA (107 nucleotides) under Bacillus cereus. RNAcentral describes it as "partial 16S ribosomal RNA". It matches the Rfam family "Bacterial small subunit ribosomal RNA", at positions 1 to 101 of the family's 1533-position model. The record is from RNAcentral. Lineage: Bacteria; Bacillati; Bacillota; Bacilli; Caryophanales; Bacillaceae.
UUUAUUGGAGAGUUUGAUCCUGGCUCAGGAUGAACGCUGGCGGCGUGCCUAAUACAUGCAAGUCGAGCGAAUGGAUUAAGAGCUUGCUCUUAUGAAGUUAGCGGCGG